GUAGGGAAUAUUGGGCAAUGGUCGGAAGACUGACCCAGCCAUGCCGCGUGCAGGAAGACGGCCCUCUGGGUUGUAAACUGCUUUUAUCUGGGAAGAAAAAGGCCAUGCGUGGCAAAUUGCCGGUACCAGAUGAAUAAGCACCGGCUAACUCCGUGCCAGCAGCCGCGGUAAUACGGAGGGUGCGAGCGUUGUCCGGAUUUAUUGGGUUUAAAGGGUGCGUAGGCGGCUGAUUAAGUCAGCGGUGAAAGACUUCGGCUUAACCGGAGCAGUGCCGUUGAUACUGGUUGGCUUGAGUGUCGGAGGGGUACAUGGAAUUGAUGGUGUAGCGGUGAAAUGCAUAGAUACCAUCAGGAACACCGAUAGCGAAGGCAUUGUACUGGCCGACAACUGACGCUGAUGCACGAAAGUGUGGGGAUCGAACAGGAUUAGAUACCCCGGUAGUCC
This 444-nucleotide ribosomal RNA is filed under the name uncultured bacterium. RNAcentral's name for it is "bacterial SSU rRNA". It matches the Rfam family "Bacterial small subunit ribosomal RNA", at positions 354 to 796 of the family's 1533-position model. The record is from RNAcentral.